RNAcentral lists this ribosomal RNA (255 nucleotides) under uncultured bacterium. Its description in RNAcentral is "partial 16S ribosomal RNA". It matches the Rfam family "Bacterial small subunit ribosomal RNA", at positions 524 to 776 of the family's 1533-position model. The record is from RNAcentral.
GACGUAGGUGGCGAACGUUAUCCGGAAUUAUUGGGCGUAAAGGAUGCGUAGGUGGUGUAGUAAGUUAUCGGUGGAAAAUCGAGGCUCAACCUCGUGGAAGUCGGUAAUACUGCUAUACUAGAGGAUAGGAGAGGUUAACGGAACUCCCUGUGGAGCGGUGAAAUGCGUAGAUAUAGGGAAGAACACCAAUCAGGCGAAGGCAGUUAACUAUUCUAUUCCUGACAUUGAGGCAUGAAAGCGUGGGGAGCAAAACGG